This 250-nucleotide ribosomal RNA is filed under the name uncultured bacterium. RNAcentral's name for it is "partial 16S ribosomal RNA". It matches the Rfam family "Bacterial small subunit ribosomal RNA", at positions 524 to 773 of the family's 1533-position model. The record is from RNAcentral.
UACGGAGGGUGCAAGCGUUAUCCGGAAUCAUUGGGUUUAAAGGGUCCGCAGGCGGACUUAUAAGUCAGUGGUGAAAGCCUACAGCUUAACUGUAGAACUGCCAUUGAUACUGUAAGUCUUGAAUUCGGUCGAAGUGGGCGGAAUGUGUAGUGUAGCGGUGAAAUGCUUAGAUAUUACACAGAACACCAAUAGCGAAGGCAGCUCACUAGGCCUGGAUUGACGCUCAUGGACGAAAGCGUGGGGAGCAAAC